This 327-nucleotide ribosomal RNA is filed under the name uncultured eukaryote. Its description in RNAcentral is "partial 18S ribosomal RNA". It matches the Rfam family "Eukaryotic small subunit ribosomal RNA", at positions 1470 to 1796 of the family's 1831-position model. The record is from RNAcentral.
CCCUUAGAUGUUCUGGGCCGCACGCGCGCUACACUGAUUCAUGCAACAAGUUUUGUCCUUGGCUGAUAGGCCUGGGUAAUCUUUGAACGUGAAUCGUGAUGGGGAUAGAUGAUUGCAAUUAUUCAUCUUCAACGAGGAAUUCCUAGUAAACGCAAGUCAUCAGCUUGCAUUGAUUACGUCCCUGCCCUUUGUACACACCGCCCGUCGCACCUACCGAUUGAAUGGUCCGGUGAAAUCUUCGGAUCUGAGAGAUGUCUGAUUAAUUUCGGACGCCUUUUGGAAAAGUUGCUUAAACCUUACCAUUUAGAGGGAGGUGAAGUCGUAACA